CCUUAACCAAACCUGGAGUCCUGGGGUGGGGAAGAUAUUUUACUGGAAUACCCCUUAACCAAACAUGGAGUCCUGGGGUGGGGAAGAUGUUUUACUGGAAUACCCCUGAUGAUCUGUUUUCUAAUAUUCUGAUUGAUGGUAUCAUUUUCAGUCAGAACAUAUAAAUGAUCUAUUCUAUUUCCUCUGUUUAAGAAAAUGUUUAUUAAUUUUAAAUUUGUAUCAGCUCAAGAAGCUAAGAAAUAAUGAAAUCAAGAUGAGACCUAUUUUAAUUUAAAAUAAGCCUGAUGUUGAUUAUGUUGUGUGUUGGUUCUAUUGACUUGUAAGUGUGUGUGACUGUGUGGUGACUGGUUAUGAUAGAUAACUGAGGAGGUCCAUGUCAGAGUGCUCACUCAACAGCUGUAUAUCUUAUAUACCACUAAUAAAUCAUGUGCUACAAUAAAAUGAAAAUUGCCAUACUAUCAAACUGUGAUUUAGAAGCAAUAAAAUAAAUGAAGUAAUAAGCGUUUUAAUUAAGUACUGAACUGUUAUUAUUAAUUGUACAUUCCAAAUAUCUCAUGUAAAUUUACCUGCAUUAAAUCAUUUAGUUUCUUAUUAAUCAAAGCGCUGUAUACCAGGAUAAUCUCUAUAGUACAAUGUAUCACUAUUGCUGCUUGUUGUUGAUAUAGUAGUGCUUUGUAAUUUAUAAUCAUUUAGUUAUUUAUGUAUACAGUACAUAUUGCCUGUGUAUUGACAUGUACAAGAUUUGGUUGUUGUUUAUUUUUAUAAUGUCAAGCAUUUUGUAUCACUGUUGAUACCAGAUUAAGAUCAUUGUAUAUAAUAAAUUGUAUUUUCUUGAUAAAUGUUCAUUUACAUACUUCAAGUAAAUUGAAGAAUAAUUUGUUUGUGAUAGAUAAUACAAUGUCGUAUAACAACUCUAGUGUGAUGUCGGGGUUGUCAUACCAAUAUAACAACUCUAGUGUGAUGUCUGGGUUGUCGUACCAAUAUAACAACUCUAGUGUGAUGUCUGGGUUGUCGUACCAAUAUAACAACUCUAGUGUGAUGUCUGGGUUGUCGUACCAAUAUAACAACUCUAGUGUGAUGUCUGGGUUGUCGUACCAAUAUAACAACUCUAGUGUGAUGUCUGGGUUGUCGUACCAAUAUAACAACUCUAGUAUGAUGUCUGGGUUGUCAUACCGAUAUAACAACUCUAGUGUGAUGUCUGGGUUGUCAUACCGAUAUAACAACUCUAGUGUGAUGUCUGGGUUGUCAUACCAAUAUAACAACUCUAGUGUGAUGUCUGGGUUGUCAUACCAAUAUAACAACUCUAGUGUCAUGUCUGGGUUGUCGUACCAAUAUAACAUCUCUAGUGUGAUGUCUGGGUUGUCAUACCAGUAUAACAACUCUAGUGUGAUGUCUGGGUUGUCAUACCAAUAUAACAACUCUAGUGUGAUGUCUGGGUUGUCAUACCAAUAUAACAACUCUAGUGUGAUGUCGGGGUUGUCGUACCAAUAUAACAACUCUAGUGUGAUGUCUGGGUUGUCAUACCAAUAUAACAACUCUAGUGUGAUGUCUGGGUUGUCAUACCAAUAUAACAACUCUAGUGUGAUGUCUGGGUUGUCAUACCGAUAUAACAGCUCUAGUGUGAUGUCUGGGUUGUCGUACCAAUAUAACAGCUCUAGUGUGAUGUCUGGGUUGUCGUACCAAUAUAACAACUCUAGUGUGAUGUCUGGGUUGUCGUACCAAUAUAACAACUCUAGUGUGAUGUGUGGGUUGUCAUACCAAUAGAACAACUUAGUGUGAUGUCUGGGUUGUCAUACCGAUAUAACAACUCUAGUGUGAUGUCUGGGUUGUCAUACCAAUAUAACAACUCUAGUGUGAUGUCUGGGUUGUCGUACCAAUAUAACAACUCUAGUGUGAUGUCGGGGUUGUCGUACCAAUAUAACAACUCUAGUGUGAUGUCUGGGUUGUCGUACCAAUAUAACAACUCUAGUGUGAUGUCUGGGUUGUCAUUGGUAAAACUUUAUGGUGUUGGCUUCAGCAGUCAAAGUCAAAUACCAAUACUCAUUUAAUUGAUCUGAUCUGCUCUUCGGUAAGUUUGUACAACUGUUGUUCUUUAAUGAGAAGUGUUUAGUAACAGUUUUGUCAGUAUCAGGAAAUCACUUUAUUUAUGAUAAGGACAAUACCAGUCUCCAUUAAAAUUCUCAUUUUUCCAUUUUCAUUUAUGCUUACAUUCAUUCCAAAAAAGAAUCUAAUUUGCUUUUAUUCUCACAUCACUUUUGUGUAGUAAUACAUUUUGUGUAAUAAUUAACGACCACUUAGAAUACUGAUAAGUUAAAGGUACUCAUUGAAAGAUGUCAUGAAAUAUGUUUAUUAUGUGUAACUGUGAUUUUGCUGUAGGACAGAUGGAAGCAAGUGUACAUUAUUGGUGUGUCCACUGGCUAGUGUAGAUAAGGUUUACAUUCUAUAUACUUUGCACAUGUUGGUUUACAAAUAUAAAAAUGUCGUUUGUUUAUGUCAUAGCACUGCCGUCCACAACUGAUGAUUUUAGAAUCUCUUUAUUCUUAAUAUGCACAUCCAUCCUUCUACCCCCAUAGGAAAGUUAAUCCCACCUCAUCGUCCUUCUACUGUAAAGGUUUAUUAAUCCCACCCCAAGGAUGAUUUUUUUGAUGUCUGAGACAAAGUAUCUGACAUCUUAUCACAGAUAGGCCACUGUUUCAGAAAGGAAGCGAUAGUCUGGAGAUUAGAACUAAUGAUAGUGUCAAUAACCUUAUUUUUGUGAGAGAUUAAUUUCUGUUUGUUUCUGUGAGAUAAUUAUGUAAGUUACCGACUUAGAAAUCCCAACAUACCUCAUCACUCUGAUGCAUUAGUUUGAUGUUUGAUCUGAAGACUGAAAUGAACUUGUUGUUAACAACUUUCUCCUGUUCAACUGCUUACUCUUUUGCUACUACAUCUUGUAUGGAAGUUUCUAUCCACCAAUUCUCGGUUGUGAUCAUUUUAUUAUCGUUUUUAUUUUCCUGCCAUUGCUGUUGUAAUCAUGCAAGUUGGCUUUACAAGUGAACGAUACAUACUGGGAUAUAAUUAUAUGAUAAGUGUAUAAUUAUAUAAUUGGUUAUUGGUGUCUAAGUGUAUAGUACUAUUAUCGUAUGUUAAUUAUAUGGUACUAAUGAUGACAAAUUGUAUACAACAUAUCUCUUCAGCCGUCCAACUUCUUAACUUGUGAAAUGAAUGAUUUCCAAUAAAAUGG
Molecule: long non-coding RNA, 3223 nt
Organism: Pecten maximus
Lineage: Eukaryota; Metazoa; Mollusca; Bivalvia; Pectinida; Pectinidae
Exons: 2
Source: RefSeq, a predicted model, not a curated record